Molecule: ribosomal RNA, 604 nt
Filed under: Escherichia coli
Lineage: Bacteria; Pseudomonadati; Pseudomonadota; Gammaproteobacteria; Enterobacterales; Enterobacteriaceae
Description: partial 23S ribosomal RNA
Rfam family: Bacterial large subunit ribosomal RNA
Source: RNAcentral
GCGUGUGACUGCGUACCUUUUGUAUAAUGGGUCAGCGACUUAUAUUCUGUAGCAAGGUUAACCGAAUAGGGGAGCCGAAGGGAAACCGAGUCUUAACUGGGCGUUAAGUUGCAGGGUAUAGACCCGAAACCCGGUGAUCUAGCCAUGGGCAGGUUGAAGGUUGGGUAACACUAACUGGAGGACCGAACCGACUAAUGUUGAAAAAUUAGCGGAUGACUUGUGGCUGGGGGUGAAAGGCCAAUCAAACCGGGAGAUAGCUGGUUCUCCCCGAAAGCUAUUUAGGUAGCGCCUCGUGAAUUCAUCUCCGGGGGUAGAGCACUGUUUCGGCAAGGGGGUCAUCCCGACUUACCAACCCGAUGCAAACUGCGAAUACCGGAGAAUGUUAUCACGGGAGACACACGGCGGGUGCUAACGUCCGUCGUGAAGAGGGAAACAACCCAGACCGCCAGCUAAGGUCCCAAAGUCAUGGUUAAGUGGGAAACGAUGUGGGAAGGCCCAGACAGCCAGGAUGUUGGCUUAGAAGCAGCCAUCAUUUAAAGAAAGCGUAAUAGCUCACUGGUCGAGUCGGCCUGCGCGGAAGAUGUAACGGGGCUAAACCAUGCAC